This 309-nucleotide ribosomal RNA is filed under the name Triticum aestivum (bread wheat). Its description in RNAcentral is "partial small subunit ribosomal RNA". The record is from RNAcentral. Lineage: Eukaryota; Viridiplantae; Streptophyta; Magnoliopsida; Poales; Poaceae.
AUGGCAUACAAAAAGUUGAGGGACUUAAAUACAACGGGGCAGAACUGGAACAUUCAAGUGAAAGUAAUGAGGAUUUGGGAUUCAGUUAAUCCUACGACCGAUGAGCUUAUUAGCCUAGAUAUGAUACUCAUGGAUGAGCAGGGUGAAACAAAUGAUGCUACUAUCUGGAAGAAUCUAAUAGACACUUUUAGAUCAAAGAUCAAUGAGAGGUCUAUUUAUGGAUUCAACAAUUUUAAGGUUGUCGAAUCCACAAAAUAUAGGCCAGGAGUCAACACAAGUAAUCUUACCCAAAAUGAGGAGUAUAGAUAG